GGCACCAAUCAGUACUCUUGGAUGAGCGGAAUAUUCGAAAUAGGCCUCCCACUCGAAUGCGAGACGAAGAAAAGAAAAUAUUGAGAAUAAUAAGAACAUUAAUUUAAUUAAUUAUCGAUAGUUCCCUAAGGCUUUCGAUAUUUAAGUGUUUUCAUUAAGUGAUGAAGAAGAAGACAGACGCCGGUAAAUAAAGAAGCAGAUGAAAUGCACACACAAUUGGCAUAAGAGACUACAGUUUUAAGUUGUUGUGAACCAAGAAGAAGAAACCUGUGGACACCUGUGGACAGGCGUUUGGGGCAGUCUUUGCCAAGGCUUGUUGCAGGGGCGCGUCGGCCUCCAGUAUCUCCAGGGCUCGCGGAAUUCAAUGCCAAUCAUGUGAUCAUGUCUCCAAGCUCUGCAAGAAACCAAAGAAGAAGCUCGAACCAUGAUCCGGGUGGCAGCAACAAGCGACUGGCGUGAGUAGCCAACACUUUUGGCAGCAUUAAACGUAAAUGUAGAACAUUUUGGAAGGCCGAAGAAGGUACAAUUUAGAUGUCGACAGCGGCUGCAAGCCAAGACCUGUCUUAGCCACAUGCAAGCAGUGUAAGCUGAUAAAGCGAGUGAUUAUUGAUGGUGUACAAAGCUUAUAUGUUUUCGACGGAUUGGCUCCCACUCCCAAUGGACUCUAUAAGAAGGAACCGAUAAGCGGGCCAUAACAUGUCACCCAGCUAUCAUCCGCGGAAACCUGUCGAAGAGCGAGCCUCUCUGUGUUUUAUGGCCACUCAAAGGUAAUGGAAAAGGGCAGACUUGAGCCCCAUAAAACCCCCCAAAAAAGCCAAAGAAUUUCAAGCAAAGGAAUGCAAUUAGUGGUGCCAAGGGGAAAAUCUUUCCAGGAAAUAAAGUAUUCUCCAAAGAAAGACAUAAUUGCCACACCAAAAAAAAGAGAAAAUGAAAUCGUAAAAAUUAUUACAAGAACGAAGCCACCCAAAAAAAAAUUAAAUUAAAAUUUAUAGAGGUAAACAAGAGCUAAAAAGAAGGCAAUUAAGUUGAGGCUCAAAAAGAAAUGAAACCGUAAGGGGGGGGAGGAGAGAUAGUUUGUUAAAAAAAUCUAUGAUCUACAACAGAAUUAGCCCCAAAAUAAUGGAAACUGUUCCCGGAAUGAAUGGAUCGCCGAUCUUCAAUCAAAAUGUGAAAUGAAAUGUUUUUAAUGUAGUUUUAAAAACUUAUAAUUAAUGUGAAACGAACUUUUUAUCACCACAACUUGAUCUACAUUUUGAUGGAUAUGCUCCCCCCCCCAUCCCCAUUCCCAGUCCCAUUCCGAUCCGAGCCGAUCCAAGAAGAAGGUGCCAUAAAGCGUUGGGUUUUCGGUAAUUUAUUAGCUUUUGACCAUUUGACCACUCGUUGGCUGUAGUUUGUCUUUCUCAGUUUACUGAUCAUCAAACCGAUCAAAAGUGUGAGGCGGCGGCCCCUGCGUGCUGGCAUCUUUGGCCCAUUCAAACAUCACCGUUUUUUAUGUUCCGCCUAAAUGUGUGGCAAACUCCAUCAAAAGAAAUAAACAGAAACACAAAUGGAAAUAUGUAGUAGUUUAUAAAUUUGUUAUGGUUGUUUUUUCGUGUGAGCGCACUGCCGUGCACUGGAAAUUGAUGAUCAAAGUCGAGAUCUUUAAACGAUUGGUUCGACCAACUUGUACGAAUUUGUAAUAAAAUUGUUGUACGCAUAAAACCAUUCAAUUGGGAGAUCUUUUUGAUGGGAUAACAGUAUGUCCCUCCACUUGGGGGAAAUAUGGAA
This is a long non-coding RNA of Drosophila miranda, 1767 nucleotides long. RefSeq lists it as uncharacterized. The transcript is spliced from 3 exons. NCBI's taxonomy places the organism in Eukaryota, Metazoa, Arthropoda, Insecta, Diptera, Drosophilidae. The record is from RefSeq and is a predicted model, not a curated record.